This is a long non-coding RNA of Lagopus leucura (white-tailed ptarmigan), 480 nucleotides long. RefSeq lists it as uncharacterized. Lineage: Eukaryota; Metazoa; Chordata; Aves; Galliformes; Phasianidae. The transcript has 3 exons. The record is from RefSeq and is a predicted model, not a curated record.
CCUUCUCUAGAGUUUUGCAGUGAGCUCAGGAUGUUGUUUUACAGUUAUAAAUGUGAAAAUAGAGAACCCAUGAGAAAGAAGGCUAGAAAUAAAAUAUUUCUACUUUAGGACCAAGCCACAGUAGCAUCUGAGAAGCUAGACACAUUGCAGAAACUCUUCCCUGUUUUCAGACUUGAUUAGAGACUGGUCUGUCAGGAAAAGGAGGAUUUCAGCUUUAAAAUGAGCCUUUGGAAACACUGCCCAAGUGUGAAUACUGAUCUUGCAUCCAGUGUACAACUUGACCUUGACAAAAGUAGGAGCCGAAGUAUUAAGAUGUUCUCCUUAAAUGUGUGAAGUCAUGGUGCAGAGAAACAAAACUGGAGUAAGCCUUGGUCUUUCAUAUCUCUCUGGACUUUUCUUACCAGCCCAGGAUCUUAGAGUCAUAGAAUCACAGAAACACAGAACAGCUUGGGUUGGAAUGGUCCUCAAGGAUCAUGAAGU